UGUUUUGGACUGGGUCUUAUUGCACCCGUGUGUGUGGCGUUGACCGACACUGUUGUUUUGGACUGGGUCUUAUUGCACCCGUGUGUGUGGCGUUGACCGACACUGUUGUUUUGGACUGGGUCUUAUUGCACCCGUGUGUGUGGCGUUGACCGACACUGUGGUUUUGGGAAUAAACAUUCCACAUAUCAACUACCCUGCUCUCUGCGCCUGACUCCUCCACCCACUACUUCUAGAAGUACAUGACAGGGGGAAGCUUGUUCCACCAUUGGGGUGCCAGCACAGAGAAGAGCUUGAGGCCCAAUCACACCAAGACCAAAGAAACAUGAUUGACUGAAGAGACAACCACGCUUCAUGACAUGUCUCCUUAUAUCGCUGUUAACCACUGUAGGACAUCAAGAGUGGGAGGAGGAGAGUCCAUUUUUGUUCAUAAACAUGUUCAUUCUUUGUAAGAGAGGACCUUGCACUUACAUGUGAUAACAUUGAUGUUGAAUCUCUUUUCAUAGAAAUUCCCUCCUGUACUUUUUUUUAACCACCAAAAAAUGUGUUAGAUACAUCCAAUUAUCGGCCACCCGAUUCUGACAUUGGUAGUUUCAUUGAUAUCCUUGCACCAGCGUUGGAUUUGAUUAAUAAUUCAUAUACAAUUUGUUUACUAUUGACUGAUUAUAACAAAUGUAUUUAAAAGUGAGAACCACUCACUGACGUCAGUCAAUAGUAAAUACUUUAUAUCCCAGCUAUCUGUAUCCCCUCAUCUACGUAUAAGCCCACAAUACUUACCAGUUCAUCUGACACCCUUAUUGAUAAUAAUUUUACAAUUUUACAAUGUGGCUAAUACAGGUAUACUUUAUUAAAAUUUAUUAAACAAGCACCAUUCACCCGAGU
Non-coding RNA from Oncorhynchus mykiss (rainbow trout), 879 nucleotides. The record is from RefSeq and is a predicted model, not a curated record. Lineage: Eukaryota; Metazoa; Chordata; Actinopteri; Salmoniformes; Salmonidae.